GGGGGCAUAACUCAGUGGUAAAAGCGCGUGCUUGGCGUGCACAAGGUCCUGGGUUCAAUCCCCAGUGCCUCCA
Molecule: transfer RNA, 73 nt
Filed under: Camelus bactrianus (Bactrian camel)
Lineage: Eukaryota; Metazoa; Chordata; Mammalia; Artiodactyla; Camelidae
Also listed under: 3 other names
Rfam family: tRNA
About the family: Transfer RNA (tRNA) molecules are approximately 80 nucleotides in length. Their secondary structure includes four short double-helical elements and three loops (D, anti-codon, and T loops).
Source: Rfam by way of RNAcentral